Molecule: ribosomal RNA, 1554 nt
Filed under: Klebsiella variicola
Lineage: Bacteria; Pseudomonadati; Pseudomonadota; Gammaproteobacteria; Enterobacterales; Enterobacteriaceae
Description: bacterial SSU rRNA
Rfam family: Bacterial small subunit ribosomal RNA
Source: RNAcentral
ACUUAAAUUGAAGAGUUUGAUCAUGGCUCAGAUUGAACGCUGGCGGCAGGCCUAACACAUGCAAGUCGAGCGGUAGCACAGAGAGCUUGCUCUCGGGUGACGAGCGGCGGACGGGUGAGUAAUGUCUGGGAAACUGCCUGAUGGAGGGGGAUAACUACUGGAAACGGUAGCUAAUACCGCAUAACGUCGCAAGACCAAAGUGGGGGACCUUCGGGCCUCAUGCCAUCAGAUGUGCCCAGAUGGGAUUAGCUGGUAGGUGGGGUAACGGCUCACCUAGGCGACGAUCCCUAGCUGGUCUGAGAGGAUGACCAGCCACACUGGAACUGAGACACGGUCCAGACUCCUACGGGAGGCAGCAGUGGGGAAUAUUGCACAAUGGGCGCAAGCCUGAUGCAGCCAUGCCGCGUGUGUGAAGAAGGCCUUCGGGUUGUAAAGCACUUUCAGCGGGGAGGAAGGCGGUGAGGUUAAUAACCUCAUCGAUUGACGUUACCCGCAGAAGAAGCACCGGCUAACUCCGUGCCAGCAGCCGCGGUAAUACGGAGGGUGCAAGCGUUAAUCGGAAUUACUGGGCGUAAAGCGCACGCAGGCGGUCUGUCAAGUCGGAUGUGAAAUCCCCGGGCUCAACCUGGGAACUGCAUUCGAAACUGGCAGGCUAGAGUCUUGUAGAGGGGGGUAGAAUUCCAGGUGUAGCGGUGAAAUGCGUAGAGAUCUGGAGGAAUACCGGUGGCGAAGGCGGCCCCCUGGACAAAGACUGACGCUCAGGUGCGAAAGCGUGGGGAGCAAACAGGAUUAGAUACCCUGGUAGUCCACGCUGUAAACGAUGUCGAUUUGGAGGUUGUGCCCUUGAGGCGUGGCUUCCGGAGCUAACGCGUUAAAUCGACCGCCUGGGGAGUACGGCCGCAAGGUUAAAACUCAAAUGAAUUGACGGGGGCCCGCACAAGCGGUGGAGCAUGUGGUUUAAUUCGAUGCAACGCGAAGAACCUUACCUGGUCUUGACAUCCACAGAACUUUCCAGAGAUGGAUUGGUGCCUUCGGGAACUGUGAGACAGGUGCUGCAUGGCUGUCGUCAGCUCGUGUUGUGAAAUGUUGGGUUAAGUCCCGCAACGAGCGCAACCCUUAUCCUUUGUUGCCAGCGGUCCGGCCGGGAACUCAAAGGAGACUGCCAGUGAUAAACUGGAGGAAGGUGGGGAUGACGUCAAGUCAUCAUGGCCCUUACGACCAGGGCUACACACGUGCUACAAUGGCAUAUACAAAGAGAAGCGACCUCGCGAGAGCAAGCGGACCUCAUAAAGUAUGUCGUAGUCCGGAUUGGAGUCUGCAACUCGACUCCAUGAAGUCGGAAUCGCUAGUAAUCGUAGAUCAGAAUGCUACGGUGAAUACGUUCCCGGGCCUUGUACACACCGCCCGUCACACCAUGGGAGUGGGUUGCAAAAGAAGUAGGUAGCUUAACCUUCGGGAGGGCGCUUACCACUUUGUGAUUCAUGACUGGGGUGAAGUCGUAACAAGGUAACCGUAGGGGAACCUGCGGUUGGAUCACCUCCUUACCUUAAAGAA